Molecule: ribosomal RNA, 268 nt
Filed under: uncultured prokaryote
Description: partial 16S ribosomal RNA
Rfam family: Bacterial small subunit ribosomal RNA
Source: RNAcentral
CAGCCGCCGCGGUAAUACAGAGGGGGCGAGCGUUAUUCGGAAUUAUUGGGCGUAAAGGGCGCGUAGGCGGCAUGGCAAGUGGAAGGUGAAAUCCCUCGGCUCAACCGAGGAACUGCCUUCCAGACUGCUUUGCUUGAGUCCGGGAGAGGUGAGUGGAAUUCCCAGUGUAGCGGUGAAAUGCGUAGAUAUUGGGAGGAACACCAGUGGCGAAGGCGGCUCACUGGACCGGAACUGACGCUGAGGCGCGAAAGCGUGGGGAGCAAACGGG